RNAcentral lists this ribosomal RNA (465 nucleotides) under uncultured bacterium. RNAcentral describes it as "partial 16S ribosomal RNA". It matches the Rfam family "Bacterial small subunit ribosomal RNA", at positions 29 to 507 of the family's 1533-position model. The record is from RNAcentral.
AUGCACGCUGGCGGCGUGCUUAACACAUGCAAGUCGAACGGAAAGGCCACAGCUUGCUGUGGUACUCGAGUGGCGAACGGGUGAGUAACACGUGGGUGAUCUGCCCUGUACUUCGGGAUAAGCUUGGGAAACUGGGUCUAAUACCGGAUAGGAAUCACAUGUGGGUGUGUGGUUGGAAAGCUUUUGCGGUAUGGGAUGAGCUCGCGGCCUAUCAGCUUGUUGGUGGGGUAAUGGCCUACCAAGGCGUCGACGGGUAGCCGGCCUGAGAGGGUGUACGGCCACAUUGGGACUGAGAUACGGCCCAGACUCCUACGGGAGGCAGCAGUGGGGAAUAUUGCACAAUGGGCGCAAGCCUGAUGCAGCGACGCCGCGUGGGGGAUGACGGCCUUCGGGUUGUAAACUCCUUUCGUCAGGGACGAAGCGAAAGUGACGGUACCUGGAGAAGAAGCACCGGCUAACUACGUG